Molecule: long non-coding RNA, 1307 nt
Organism: Python bivittatus (Burmese python)
Lineage: Eukaryota; Metazoa; Chordata; Lepidosauria; Squamata; Pythonidae
Source: RefSeq, a predicted model, not a curated record
UUUUGCUUCUCUCCCACAUCCUCUGAAGCUUCAGCCUGGUCAGCGUCAAGGGCUGUAGGACGCGGCGAGGGAUGUCCUUGCCUCCUUUCUGGGUUGAGUCUAUUACAAUAGUUUAAAGUUCUGGGUUGGGUAUUUCCCACCCCUCGGGGGUCUGAGAUAAGGAAGAGGGGAGGUUCAUCCAGAUAUCAGGAAUUCUCCACCUUGAGGACACCUACAACGGAUUGGGAUGGAACCGAUUCCCAGCAUAGUUUAUAUUCGUUUCUUCCUGGCCCCUCUUCUCCCAUAGAAGGACUAUGUUCAGGGCUGUGCUCUUUUAUGGAAAGAAGAUUGAGCUAUUUGACUCUAGAGCAAUUAUCUUGUCCUCAGCUGAGAUGCUCGACCAGCACGACAAACCUAGGAAGUUCCUUUUACAUCCAAUGACGUGGGUUCGAAGUGGUUCCUGCCCUUUCAGGCUGAUAGAAGAAGACAAUGGGCGAAUCCCAAUUUCACUCGAAGGAGCAAGGAGACAUCACUCUCAAUUCCUUAUUUGGUUGGUUAUUAACCCUGCGUUAAUAAAAGGAUCCACAAACGUGUUCGGUGCUUUUCCACAGAGCGCACCCAUUCAGAAAGAUCAUAUGCAGCUGGUUUUGUUGGUGGCUGGUUUUUCCCCACAGAUCAAUACUGUCUCCCAAAUUGCCGAGACGAGAGACACGAAGAAUGAAGGAAGGGUGGGAAAAGAAAGAAGAGGAAAAACAACUCUGUAGUACCAGGAGAAAGAAGUGUGUCUGCGCAAGCAAGUCGGAUUCUCCUUGUCGGACAGGUUCUCAUAUAGGGUGUUCCCCCAUCUCGGAUCUAUGGAACUAACCUCCUUUCUUGGAUUCACCUGACAUUCUGUCUGACCCAUCAACUAACCACCCGGGUUGGGUUCACACCAUCUGGGAAAGUAAAUGGGAUCAGCUUACAUACAGCCCGUGUAUCCUGUGAAACCAACAUAACGGUAAACGCAUCAUCGUGCGAAAGAAUAUUUGAAACUACGGUUCGUUUUUCCAGUUAAUGCUCAUUUAAUUUAAUUCAAUGUAUUACAUUUGUUAUAGCCACCCACUCUGUUAGAUUCUGGGUGGCUUACAAGAUUCAGGAACAAUAAAAACGAUAACACAAUUAAACACGCAUAAACACAGUGUGGACUAAUGCAAGGAAUGGCCGCUGCCCUGGAUAGAUUUAUGUAAGCGUUUGUUAGCUUUCUAUCCAGCAGCUCAAAGCAGCGCGCCGAUCCAGGCCUUUUUCGCCAACCCUGCAAGGUUGCUUGGGCCACGAGGGAACAACUGCCC